RNAcentral lists this ribosomal RNA (255 nucleotides) under Pelobates cultripes (western spadefoot toad). Its description in RNAcentral is "SSU_rRNA_microsporidia". It matches the Rfam family "Eukaryotic small subunit ribosomal RNA", at positions 167 to 430 of the family's 1831-position model. Lineage: Eukaryota; Metazoa; Chordata; Amphibia; Anura; Pelobatidae. The record is from RNAcentral.
AUAUAUAUAAAAAAAGACAACUCUGUUCCGCAGAGUAGCUGUUGACAUUAUAGCUGCACAGGCACUUUGUUGACUCUAGAGAAACUCUGGCCAAUCGCACAUCCCCGUGGCAGCGACUUUGCAUGCGGAUGUCAUCCAUAUCAACUUUCAAUGCCAGUUUCUGCGCCUACCAUGGUGACCACGGGUAACGGGAAUCAGGGUUCAAUUCCGUACAGGGACCCUGAGAAACGGCUGCCACAUGCAAGGAAGGCAGCA